UGGGAAGUCACCUUGUGUAGUAGGAUGCA
This 29-nucleotide non-coding RNA is filed under the name Mus musculus (house mouse). Lineage: Eukaryota; Metazoa; Chordata; Mammalia; Rodentia; Muridae. The record is from RNAcentral.